This 1033-nucleotide long non-coding RNA is filed under the name Anser brachyrhynchus (Pink-footed goose). RNAcentral describes it as "lncRNA (ENSABRG00000005960.1)". Lineage: Eukaryota; Metazoa; Chordata; Aves; Anseriformes; Anatidae. The record is from RNAcentral.
UAACCCUGAAUCUCAAAGUUUGUUAUAAGCUUGCCAGGGAAAUGUUUAAGCCAAGGAUGCUGUGUGAGUGAUGCAGAACGGCUCCAAUGCAGUGUGGCAGCAAAAAUAAGACAACUCCAAGGAGAUGUAAGGCAGAUGUGCAUGUGGUCACAGAGUUGGGAUGUAUGUACUCAUAGUGCUUUAGUCAGCAGGAAAACACUGAUGAAUAAAAAGUCAUUUAGCAAGCAAGGGUCUGGACUUCUGAAAAGAGAUGAGUACUGAACACAGCAAGAAGAGGAGAGACAGAAAUGGUUGAGCAGUAUUUGAGAGGUGCAGUCACAAAGAAAACGUCAUUGGUCCAUAAGAGUGGCCAUCCUUGACAGUAAUAAGAUGAGAUCAAGAGCAGAAGAUGCUCGGAUAGACUGUCAAAAAUGACUUGUUGGCAGCGAGGUCUCUUAAGAUUUGUAGUUUCUUAAGGGAGUUCGUUUGAGCCAUUUAAAACCAAGCCUCCACUUUUUGCCCUAUUUAUAAAAUGACUGUGGAUGAAGCUAGAUUAAAAUCUGUUGUAAGCAUGAGAUCUUUCACUGACAGUUUGAUGGUCCUGAUGAACAAAUAGGUAUUUUUUAUUUAUAAGGUAUGAAUUGGGUGGAAAGAAAAGAUGCAAAAUGCAAUCUUGUUUGCUACACAGAAGUGUAUAACCAGCCUGAUUAGACAAUCCUUGCAAUAUUUCUCAUUGUGGAAGGUCACUCUCACCUUUUUUUCAGUAUUGCCUUUUGGAGGAGAGGGAAAAGGGCUGAGAAAAAGGGGAAAGAAAGCAGCACAGAAGAGGAGCAGGAAAAUUACAGAUGCAGAAGCACGAGAGAAGUCGUGAACAACCCAGUGGAUUUGCUUCCUGAUGUACGACAGCAAACAGUGUUGAUUAAAUUAUCUAAUGCCCUCAUCAAAGAACAAGUAAGCUUUUAGGGAGGAGGAGGAAGCUGGGAUUUGAGGAGCUUAAAAGGGAAAACUAGCUAGAAGAGAUCAUCUGAUUGAAAGUGGACAAGACCGGGGUGGG